This 66-nucleotide transfer RNA is filed under the name uncultured Ruminococcus sp. It matches the Rfam family "tRNA", at positions 5 to 66 of the family's 71-position model. Rfam says of the family: Transfer RNA (tRNA) molecules are approximately 80 nucleotides in length. Their secondary structure includes four short double-helical elements and three loops (D, anti-codon, and T loops). The record is from RNAcentral. Lineage: Bacteria; Bacillati; Bacillota; Clostridia; Eubacteriales; Oscillospiraceae.
CUGUAGCUCAGCUGGACAGAGCGUCAGCCUCCGAAGCUGUAUGUCGUCGGUUCAAAUCCGAUCAGG